CGGGUCUUGCCUGUUCCUAGAGAAAGGAAGGGGUUAGCCGCGGCGGGAACGGCCCCGCCAGUGAGGAGAGCAGGCAGCAAGGCUUAGUGGAAAAGGCGUGGCCCAGGCGUACCGCAGGGGCGUGACCCGAACGAGCUGUCCUUAGCUCUUACGUGAAGGGCGUGGCGUAGUCCCAAGGGUGUAAAAAAAGAUGUUCGAAUUGGCGGGAGGGUCGGCAUACUUUAGGCGGAGUAAGGACGUGGGCCCAAGGGAGGGAGGUAGGGUAGGCAGAAUAGUUGUGACUGGAUGAUCACUGGUAUGUGAAACGAACUGCGCUCAGAGGCGCAGACUGGCUGAAGCGUGGGAAAGUGGCCACAGAUGGAAAGGCAGGCAGCGGAGUAGUGAUGGGCAGGGGAUGUGGCGGCGGCAAGGGAAGUAGGGACAUGACGUAGUUGGAACGCAGAGACGUGCCUCGAACGUGGGGGCGCGGUCCUUACGUGUGGGCGUGUCUUGUUGCUCUGACGGGCGUAACAAACAUGGUGGAGCAGGCGGAGGGCAGAGGCGUGGGCAAGUUAGCGUGCAGGCGCGUGGCAGCGACAGGAGAUGUGUAGCCAGAGCGCAGAGCUGGUGUGGACUCCGGCGCAGGGGAAGCGUGGUCAGGGCGAGAUUUGAGCCUGGGUCGGGGACAGAGGCGGGACUGAUAGGGGCGUAGCCUGGAAUGACGAAAUGACGUUUGCUGCGUGGGGACGUGGGUAAACGUGAGGGGGCGUGGGCAACAUGGCCGCGUGCAGGAUCUUCGGGUCCCGGGAGCGAACGUGGAGGUUCUGGCUCAGUGCAUCCACUCUGGGAGAGCGUGGACCUGGUUCCUGGGGGCGAUCAACAGUCACCCAUCAACAUUUGGUGGAGGGACAGUGUUUAUGAUGCCGGCUUAAAACCGCUCACCAUCUCUUAUGAUCCAGCCACCUGCCUCCACGUCUGGAAUAAUGGGUACUCUUUCCUCGUGGAAUUUGAAGAUUCUACAUAUAAAUCAGGCUGUACAGGAAACAUGCUGCUCACAUCUGCAUCUGGUGAGGUCCUCAAACUGUUUCUCCUCAUGUUGGAAGGCCACGGGGAGCCAGCACGCAGAGAUCACAUGCUGCACUUAGUGCAUUGGAAUGCAGUCAAAUUUGAAAACUUUGAGGACGCAGCACCGGAAGAAAAUGGUUUGGCUGUGAUAGGAGUAUUUUUAAAGGUAAAAAAAACUCACCAACUUUAAAUGAUGUGGUGUAUUCUAGAAUGAAAAGAUAGAACAUUAUAAUAUUGUUGUUUACUUUAAGAAUAUUGGGAUCCAUACACUGGUAAGAUAAAUAGUGCUUGAAAUACAGGAUGGUUAAGGAUAUAUUUUAAAUGGCAUGAAACUGUGCCGUCCAAUAGAGUGAUCACAAGCCACAUGUGACAGUUGAGCUCUUGAAAUGUGGCUGGUGUAACUUAGGAAAUGAAGAUUUAAUUUACUUCUAAUUCACUUAAAUUUCAAUUGAAAAACUGAUAUUCAAUUCAGUUAUUGAAAAACUUUUGGGUCGGGCGCAGUGGCUCACACCUGUGAUCCCAGCUCUUUGGGAGGCCGAGGCAGACGGAUCACUUAAGGCCAGGAGUUCGAAACCAGCCUGGCUAAUGUGGC
This is a long non-coding RNA of Rhinopithecus roxellana (golden snub-nosed monkey), 1636 nucleotides long. RefSeq lists it as uncharacterized. Lineage: Eukaryota; Metazoa; Chordata; Mammalia; Primates; Cercopithecidae. The record is from RefSeq and is a predicted model, not a curated record. The transcript has 4 exons.